Molecule: ribosomal RNA, 458 nt
Filed under: uncultured microorganism
Description: bacterial SSU rRNA
Rfam family: Bacterial small subunit ribosomal RNA
Source: RNAcentral
GUGCAGCAGGCGCGAAUCUUGGGCAAUGCCCGCAAGGGUGACCCAGCGACGCCACGUGGGGGAUGAAGCCCGAAAGGGUGUAAACCCCUUUUGGUGGGGAGCAAGGGUGGUUCUCUUGAGCCACCUUGAGAGUACCCACCGAAUAAGGGCUGGGCUAAACUCGUGGCCAGCAGCAGCGGUAAUACGAGUGGCCCAAGCGUUCUCCGGAAUUACUGGGGCCUAAAGCGUCCGUAGGCGGCCUUGCAAGUUCCUGGUUAAAAUCCUGGGGGCUCAACCCCCAGAAUUGCCGGGAAGACUACAAGGCUAGAGGGCGUCAGAGGGUGGCGGAACGCCCGGUGUAGGGGUGAAAAUCCGUUGAUAUCGGGCGGAACACCGAAAGCGAAGGCAGCCACCUAGGGCGCCCCUGACGCUGAGGGACGACACCCCGGGGAGCGAAACGGAUUAGAUACCCCUGUAGU